UCCCGCUCAAGAACACACGGUUUGAUCUCCAGACAGCUACGUUUUCAGUCACUGCCGAUAAGUAUGUUCUCCUCCACAACUUCAACGUCAACAAUGAAACUAGACCUUUCCUCAGGGAGUACCUUAUUAAUGUGACUGAUCCAAAGUUUUCCCUUCACUUUCAACCUAUAAAGAAUUCUGCUGCUUUCAUCAAUGCCAUUGAGGUUGUUUCUGCCCCCGAUGUUUUGCUCCCUGAUGAAGGCACUGGCCUCUUCCCCAUUUCGAGCUUUUCAG
RNAcentral lists this unclassified non-coding RNA (273 nucleotides) under Hevea brasiliensis (rubber tree). The record is from RNAcentral. Lineage: Eukaryota; Viridiplantae; Streptophyta; Magnoliopsida; Malpighiales; Euphorbiaceae.